Molecule: ribosomal RNA, 2931 nt
Filed under: Escherichia coli
Lineage: Bacteria; Pseudomonadati; Pseudomonadota; Gammaproteobacteria; Enterobacterales; Enterobacteriaceae
Description: bacterial LSU rRNA
Rfam family: Bacterial large subunit ribosomal RNA
Source: RNAcentral
GGGUUGUGAGGUUAAGCGACUAAGCGUACACGGUGGAUGCCCUGGCAGUCAGAGGCGAUGAAGGACGUGCUAAUCUGCGAUAAGCGUCGGUAAGGUGAUAUGAACCGUUAUAACCGGCGAUUUCCGAAUGGGGAAACCCAGUGUGUUUCGACACACUAUCAUUAACUGAAUCCAUAGGUUAAUGAGGCGAACCGGGGGAACUGAAACAUCUAAGUACCCCGAGGAAAAGAAAUCAACCGAGAUUCCCCCAGUAGCGGCGAGCGAACGGGGAGCAGCCCAGAGCCUGAAUCAGUGUGUGUGUUAGUGGAAGCGUCUGGAAAGGCGCGCGAUACAGGGUGACAGCCCCGUACACAAAAAUGCACAUGCUGUGAGCUCGAUGAGUAGGGCGGGACACGUGGUAUCCUGUCUGAAUAUGGGGGGACCAUCCUCCAAGGCUAAAUACUCCUGACUGACCGAUAGUGAACCAGUACCGUGAGGGAAAGGCGAAAAGAACCCCGGCGAGGGGAGUGAAAAAGAACCUGAAACCGUGUACGUACAAGCAGUGGGAGCACAGAGCAAUCUGUGUGACUGCGUACCUUUUGUAUAAUGGGUCAGCGACUUAUAUUCUGUAGCAAGGUUAACCGAAUAGGGGAGCCGAAGGGAAACCGAGUCUUAACUGGGCGUUAAGUUGCAGGGUAUAGACCCGAAACCCGGUGAUCUAGCCAUGGGCAGGUUGAAGGUUGGGUAACACUAACUGGAGGACCGAACCGACUAAUGUUGAAAAAUUAGCGGAUGACUUGUGGCUGGGGGUGAAAGGCCAAUCAAACCGGGAGAUAGCUGGUUCUCCCCGAAAGCUAUUUAGGUAGCGCCUCGUGAAUUCAUCUCCGGGGGUAGAGCACUGUUUCGGCAAGGGGGUCAUCCCGACUUACCAACCCGAUGCAAACUGCGAAUACCGGAGAAUGUUAUCACGGGAGACACACGGCGGGUGCUAACGUCCGUCGUGAAGAGGGAAACAACCCAGACCGCCAGCUAAGGUCCCAAAGUCAUGGUUAAGUGGGAAACGAUGUGGGAAGGCCCAGACAGCCAGGAUGUUGGCUUAGAAGCAGCCAUCAUUUAAAGAAAGCGUAAUAGCUCACUGGUCGAGUCGGCCUGCGCGGAAGAUGUAACGGGGCUAAACCAUGCACCGAAGCUGCGGCAGCGACGCUUAUGCGUUGUUGGGUAGGGGAGCGUUCUGUAAGCCUGCGAAGGUGUGCUGUGAGGCAUGCUGGAGGUAUCAGAAGUGCGAAUGCUGACAUAAGUAACGAUAAAGCGGGUGAAAAGCCCGCUCGCCGGAAGACCAAGGGUUCCUGUCCAACGUUAAUCGGGGCAGGGUGAGUCGACCCCUAAGGCGAGGCCGAAAGGCGUAGUCGAUGGGAAACAGGUUAAUAUUCCUGUACUUGGUGUUACUGCGAAGGGGGGACGGAGAAGGCUAUGUUGGCCGGGCGACGGUUGUCCCGGUUUAAGCGUGUAGGCUGGUUUUCCAGGCAAAUCCGGAAAACUAAGGCUGAGGCGUGAUGACGAGGCACUACGGUGCUGAAGCAACAAAUGCCCUGCUUCCAGGAAAAGCCUCUAAGCAUCAGGUAACAUCAAAUCGUACCCCAAACCGACACAGGUGGUCAGGUAGAGAAUACCAAGGCGCUUGAGAGAACUCGGGUGAAGGAACUAGGCAAAAUGGUGCCGUAACUUCGGGAGAAGGCACGCUGAUAUGUAGGUGAAGCGACUUGCUCGUGGAGCUGAAAUCAGUCGAAGAUACCAGCUGGCUGCAACUGUUUAUUAAAAACACAGCACUGUGCAAACACGAAAGUGGACGUAUACGGUGUGACGCCUGCCCGGUGCCGGAAGGUUAAUUGAUGGGGUUAGCGCAAGCGAAGCUCUUGAUCGAAGCCCCGGUAAACGGCGGCCGUAACUAUAACGGUCCUAAGGUAGCGAAAUUCCUUGUCGGGUAAGUUCCGACCUGCACGAAUGGCGUAAUGAUGGCCAGGCUGUCUCCACCCGAGACUCAGUGAAAUUGAACUCGCUGUGAAGAUGCAGUGUACCCGCGGCAAGACGGAAAGACCCCGUGAACCUUUACUAUAGCUUGACACUGAACAUUGAGCCUUGAUGUGUAGGAUAGGUGGGAGGCUUUGAAGUGUGGACGCCAGUCUGCAUGGAGCCGACCUUGAAAUACCACCCUUUAAUGUUUGAUGUUCUAACGUUGACCCGUAAUCCGGGUUGCGGACAGUGUCUGGUGGGUAGUUUGACUGGGGCGGUCUCCUCCUAAAGAGUAACGGAGGAGCACGAAGGUUGGCUAAUCCUGGUCGGACAUCAGGAGGUUAGUGCAAUGGCAUAAGCCAGCUUGACUGCGAGCGUGACGGCGCGAGCAGGUGCGAAAGCAGGUCAUAGUGAUCCGGUGGUUCUGAAUGGAAGGGCCAUCGCUCAACGGAUAAAAGGUACUCCGGGGAUAACAGGCUGAUACCGCCCAAGAGUUCAUAUCGACGGCGGUGUUUGGCACCUCGAUGUCGGCUCAUCACAUCCUGGGGCUGAAGUAGGUCCCAAGGGUAUGGCUGUUCGCCAUUUAAAGUGGUACGCGAGCUGGGUUUAGAACGUCGUGAGACAGUUCGGUCCCUAUCUGCCGUGGGCGCUGGAGAACUGAGGGGGCUGCUCCUAGUACGAGAGGACCGGAGUGGACGCAUCACUGGUGUUCGGGUUGUCAUGCCAAUGGCACUGCCCGGUAGCUAAAUGCGGAAGAGAUAAGUGCUGAAAGCAUCUAAGCACGAAACUUGCCCGAGAUGAGUUCUCCCUGACUCCUUGAGAGUCCUGAAGGAACGUUGAAGACGACGACGUUGAUAGGCCGGGUGUGUAAGCGCAGCGAUGCGUUGAGCUAACCGGUACUAAUGAACCGUGAGGCUUAACCUUACAACGCCGAAGGUGUUU